UACGGAGGGGGCUAGCGUUGUUCGGAAUUACUGGGCGUAAAGCGCACGUAGGCGGCUUUGUAAGUUAGAGGUGAAAGCCCCAGGGCUUAACCCUGGAAUUGCCUUUAAGACUGCAUCGCUAGAAUCGUGGAGAGGUGAGUGGAAUUCCGAGUGUAGAGGUGAAAUUCGUAGAUAUUCGGAAGAACACCAGUGGCGAAGGCGACUCACUGGACACGUAUUGACGCUGAGGUGCGAAAGC
RNAcentral lists this ribosomal RNA (238 nucleotides) under uncultured bacterium. RNAcentral's name for it is "partial 16S ribosomal RNA". It matches the Rfam family "Bacterial small subunit ribosomal RNA", at positions 524 to 760 of the family's 1533-position model. The record is from RNAcentral.